RNAcentral lists this ribosomal RNA (481 nucleotides) under uncultured bacterium. RNAcentral's name for it is "partial 16S ribosomal RNA". It matches the Rfam family "Bacterial small subunit ribosomal RNA", at positions 28 to 507 of the family's 1533-position model. The record is from RNAcentral.
GAUGAACGCUGGCGGCGUGCUUAACACAUGCAAGUCGAACGAAGCACUUUAUUUGAUUUCCUUCGGGAAUGAUGAUUUUGUGACUGAGUGGCGGACGGGUGAGUAACGCGUGGGUAACCUGCCUUGUACAGGGGGAUAACAGUGGGAAACGGCUGCUAAUACCGCAUAAGCGCACAGCAUCGCCUGAUGCAGUGUGAAAAACUCCGGUGGUAUAAGAUGGACCCGCGUUGGAUUAGCAAGUUGGUGAGGUAACGGCCCACCAAGUCGACGAGCCAUAGCCGACCUGGGCAGGUGACCGGCCACGUUGGGACUGAGCCACGGCCCAGACUCCUACGGGAUGCAGCAGUGGGGAAUAUUGCACAAUGGGCGACAGUCUGAUGCAGCGACGCCGCGUGAGCGGAGAAGUAUUUCGGUAUGUAAUGCUCUAUCAGCAGGGCAGAUAAUGACGGUACCUGACUAAGAAGCACCGGCUAAAUACGUG